CCUGAUUGUUCAUGUACCAUGCUCUUCUCAGCACAGAAAAUAUCACAUAGAACAAGGAUAUUUUGAAACUCACAACACUAUCCCUACGCCAUGUUUUAUUAAGGAGGGUCUUGCUUUCUACUAAACCUAAAUAGUCUUCCUUACUUUUAAAUAGUCAAGGUACUCUCCUAACACUCCCAAGGCACUCUGAAUUUCCUGACACAGAACUGAACACACAAAUACCACCCAUUUGUCCAUCUUCUUCCCCGAACCCUACAAGCGCAGGGCCUGUGUCUUUCCCAUUCACAGUUGCCUUUAAGCCCAGCAUAGCACAUAGAGGACUGAAGAUUAUAACAAGAAAAUUAUGAUAGAGCAACCUUGAUGUUCUGGCGUGUCCCUUGGGAAACGUCAUGAGCUGAUACGAUGGAUGGAGAGGGAAGCGUAUGGAAGUGAAAAAUUAAAACCAGCUUCUGGUUUUCACAGUCUCUACUGUCUGGAGUCUUGCUCUGUUCCUGUCUUGAAGCAGUCAAGGAUUAAAGGGAAGAAUUUGUUUGGGAGAAGAGGGGCAAAGAGUGGGACCAUCCAGCGGAGUUUCCUUCUCCACCAUGACAUACCCACCUGCAAAGCCUAGAGUCAAUCCUCAUUAGGCACCACAUAACCAGAAGAAAACUGGCUUUUAGUCAAUUUCAGCCAAGGAGUCAGUAUGAAGCCUCUAUGCCAAAUCAGGAGAGAAUGGUGCUCAGAAACUGUGUUCCUUGCACCUCCAAGAUCACAGAGCCAACCUCUCUCUGUGGGUCUGCUCAACUCCAAAUCCAGUCGGUGGACUUGGCUCUCCUGCCCUUGUCAUCUGGACACAGUAAUGCUCCAACAUUUGGGUAUUUUUUGUGGUGGGGAAGACUUCCUCUGGGUUUGCACCUCACCGGUGAUUCUUCACGGAGAAGGAAGAGGAGAUUGAAACUUCAGGCCAGUGUAACUCUGCUCUUCAGCUUCUCUCUGACAUUACAAAACCUUCAUUUCCUUCCUCUCCCCCAUCUUCUGAUAUGCCCAUCUCUUCUGAGAAGCAUGAGAAAUACAUCUUGUUCUUUGGAUUCCCUUUUACCCUUGGACAAAGUCACCUUGGUUGGCAAUUAGUGAUUAUUAAUAAAAAGAUGGCAAACAUAUUCAUAGAUGUUUGCUGUAUGCUGGCCAUCAGGUUCUGAGUUUCCAAAUAUUUAUCUCAUUAGAUCCUGUUAGAUAAAAGGUGUUAUGCAGACAUUUUAACUCCUGUUUUACAGACAUGGAAACUAAGACUAAGGAAGGCCAAACUAACAAGUUGGUAGAGUCUGGGCUUAAAUUAGGGUCUGCAGACUUCAAAGCUUUUCCAUAACAUCAUUGCUGUCUGUCAUCUGUGGAAGAACCAUUACUCAAGGGCUUGGGGACAAGGCCUAACUCACUUUUGUGAUCCUAGUAACUAGGAUUGUGCUUGUCACCUUUUAGGUGCUUAUUGUGGAACUUAAUUUUGGGAGAAGAGGAGUUUCCCAAAUUGCAUACUAUCUUUGGAAUGAGCCUCAGCAUCCAUUCCUAAACAUCUUCUCUGCCUUGGCUGAGUCACAGAAAAUGACUCUUGCUCCCUAAAGGUGGGUGGUUUGACUGUGAGAUCAUCUUGGGGACAUAGGUAUGUCUGGGAGCAGAUGGCUCAUUCCAAGUGGGAAGGUCCCAGGAAGGAAGCAAACGGUUUGGGUCUACUGCAUUCUGCUUUGGAAGAGGCCAAAGUAAACCGUUAUACCAGCAGCUCCCAGUUUGUGUCAAGUGACCCAUGGUAUUUGAGCAAACUCACACAUGUGCUGGAGGAUGUU
RNAcentral lists this long non-coding RNA (1814 nucleotides) under Capra hircus (goat). RNAcentral describes it as "lncRNA (ENSCHIG00000007052.1)". Lineage: Eukaryota; Metazoa; Chordata; Mammalia; Artiodactyla; Bovidae. The record is from RNAcentral.